Tachysurus fulvidraco (yellow catfish) is the source of this 761-nucleotide long non-coding RNA. RefSeq lists it as uncharacterized. The transcript is spliced from 2 exons. The record is from RefSeq and is a predicted model, not a curated record. Lineage: Eukaryota; Metazoa; Chordata; Actinopteri; Siluriformes; Bagridae.
AAAUGUCUUGAUGUUUUUUGAUACUGAAUAUAAAGAGAUGUGAUAGUUUGAGUUUGCGAAGGUUUUACUGUAUUUUCUCAUCCUCUUUAAUCAAUACAAGUGAUAACCACCCACCUUGUGUUGUGAUUUUGGCCUGUGCAAAUACGUCUGUGUAAGGAACAGUGAGUUCAGUACACUGAGUUAUGUUCCACCUACUUUGUACUGAACUGCCUGCUUUACACAGAGGUGUGUGUGGCGUAUUUCAUUCACACUCACUUGACUUCCAAGUUAUUCCCUGUGUUUAGGUCUAGAUUUCUGUGUUUUAAGGAAAUUCAUACUUUUGUAGAUGUGAUUGCUGUUCUGAGUGGAAGGCAAAUUAGUCUGAAUUGUUGGCAUUAUUUCUUUUAUAUAUAAUAUAAAAUUGAGACAAAGAUUAGAGUGAUACAGUUUUUUAACUGGAGAGCAAGCACUAGUAAAUAAGUAAAUAACUCACUUCCGGUUGACUGGGGCUUGUUAACUCUAUUAGCAUAUUUGGGUGGUGCAGCUCAAUCAGCAGGUAGUAGAUCAUCGCUCCCAACACCCCGCCCACCAUUGGACCAGCAACUGGGAUCCACCACCAGCCACCACCGGCCCUGAACACACAAUACAACACACACUCACUCACAGUAUCCCAUAUAUCUAGCUACCAUUAGUGAUGGACUCACCAUGCAGACUCACACGUUUGUAGGAUUUUUACAUUUCUGUUUGUCCUGUGUUCCACUGAUAAAGGUUUUGAACUUGCA